GUGAGGAAUUUUCCGCAAUGGACGAAAGCCUGACGGAGCAAUGCCGCGUGAAGGAUGAAGGCCUAUGGGUUGUAAACUUCUUUUCUCAGAAAAGAAUUAUGACGGUAUCUGAGGAAUAAGCAUCGGCUAACUCUGUGCCAGCAGCCGCGGUAAGACAGAGGAUGCAAGCGUUAUCCGGAAUGAUUGGGCGUAAAGCGUCUGUAGGUUGUUUAAAAAGUAUUCUGUCAAAGAUUAGGGCUUAACCCUAGAUAGGCAGAAUAAACUUUUAAGCUAGAGUUUGGUAGAGGCAGAGGGAAUUCCCGGUGGAGCGGUGAAAUGCGUAGAUAUCGGGAGGAACACCAAAGGCGAAGGCACUCUGCUGGGCCAAUACUAACACUGAGAGACGAAAGCGAGGGGAGCAAAUGGGAUUAGAUACCCGUGUAGUCC
RNAcentral lists this ribosomal RNA (426 nucleotides) under uncultured bacterium. RNAcentral describes it as "bacterial SSU rRNA". It matches the Rfam family "Bacterial small subunit ribosomal RNA", at positions 354 to 796 of the family's 1533-position model. The record is from RNAcentral.